CAAUAGCGUAUAUUAAAGUUGUUGCAGUUAAAAAGCUCGUAGUUGGACCUUGGACCUGGACAGGCGGUCCGCCUCACGGCGUGUACUGUCUUGCUGGGUCUUUCCUCUUGGUGAUCUGUUGUUUCGGCAGCAGGGAACCAGGACUUUUACUUUGAAAAAAUUAGAGUGUUCAAAGCAGGCUCGACGCCGGAAUAUAUUAGCAUGGAAUAAUAAAAUAGGACGUGCGGCUCUAUUUUGUUGGUUUUUGGAAUCGCCGUAAUGAUUAAUAGGGACAGUCGGGGGCAUUAGUACUCACAUGCUAGAGGUGAAAUUCUUGGAUUUUGUGAAGACUAACUUCUGCGAAAGCAUUUGCCAAGGAUGUUUUCAUUAA
This 370-nucleotide ribosomal RNA is filed under the name uncultured eukaryote. Its description in RNAcentral is "partial 18S ribosomal RNA". It matches the Rfam family "Eukaryotic small subunit ribosomal RNA", at positions 592 to 976 of the family's 1831-position model. The record is from RNAcentral.